UACGAAGGGGCUAGCGUUGCUCGGAAUCACUGGGCGUAAAGGGCGCGUAGGCGGCGUUUUAAGUCGGGGGUGAAAGCCCGAGGCUCAACCUCGGAACUGCCUUCGAUACUGCGGGUCUCGAGUCCGGGAGAGGUGAGUGGAAUUCCUAGUGUAGAGGUGAAAUUCGUAGAUAUUAGGAAGAACACCAGUGGCGAAGGCGGCUCACUGGCCCGGUACUGGCGCUGAGGCGCGAAAGCGUGGGGAGCAAACAGG
Molecule: ribosomal RNA, 252 nt
Filed under: uncultured bacterium
Lineage: Bacteria
Description: partial 16S ribosomal RNA
Rfam family: Bacterial small subunit ribosomal RNA
Source: RNAcentral